CUAAAUUGAGCUCUUUUCUCGUAAACCUAUUGAAGCGGUUUUCUGAAGAUAGUUCUCCGAGAACACUCUUCUUUUCUUAUUAUCAAGGAGAGGCAGCUUAUGUGGAAGCUCUUCAAGUCCCAUAAGCUUGGCGAUAAUGCUUUGUGUAUGCUGCUUCCCCUCCAUCUAAAUCAGGCACUCUGAUUACAACUGUUUUAGUUCUCCAAAUUAUAUAUUUUUACAAGUGCAUUUCUUCAAAAUAAGGCACCAAUUGAUGUCAUCUGCACAAAGACAUAUUACCAUUUUUAGGCAAAAAGAAAUGCAUACGUGGUUCAUUAACAACAUUUGAACCAGAAACAUCAUUUGAAAUGAAUUAAUCCCCUCAAAAAGAAAGAAAAAUAAAAAGAAGAAAACAGAAAAAGCCUUCAAUUUUUUAGUAGAAGAUAAGUGUUACACAUAUAAAGGAAAUAUAGCGCAAUCUAAAUUCUGAUUUACCUCCAUCAUAAUCG
Molecule: long non-coding RNA, 488 nt
Filed under: Solanum tuberosum (potato)
Lineage: Eukaryota; Viridiplantae; Streptophyta; Magnoliopsida; Solanales; Solanaceae
Description: long non-coding RNA (STUB_LNC006265)
Source: RNAcentral